This 482-nucleotide ribosomal RNA is filed under the name uncultured bacterium. RNAcentral's name for it is "bacterial SSU rRNA". It matches the Rfam family "Bacterial small subunit ribosomal RNA", at positions 29 to 506 of the family's 1533-position model. The record is from RNAcentral.
ACGAACGCUGGCGGCGCGCUUAAUACAUGCAAGUCGAACGAGAAGGUGUAGCAAUACACUUGUAAAGUGGCGAACGGGUGAGGAAUACAUGGGUAACCUACCCUCGAGUGGGGAACAACCAGCCGAAAGGUUGGCUAAUACCGCGUACGCUUCCGGGUCUUCGGACUCGGAAGGAAAGUCAUACCGUGGGUAUGACGCUCAAGGAUGGGCUCAUGUCCUAUCAGCUUGUUGGUGGGGUAACGGCCUACCAAGGCUCCGACGGGUAGCUGGUCUGAGAGGACGAUCAGCCACACUGGCACUGCGACACGGGCCAGACUCCUACGGGAGGCAGCAGUAAGGAAUAUUGCGCAAUGGGCGAAAGCCUGACGCAGCGACGCCGCGUGGGGAUGAAGGUCUUCGGAUUGUAAACCCCUUUCGGGAGGGAAAAUGGAACGAGCAAUCGUUCGGAUGGUACCUCCAGAAGCAGCCACGGCUAACUUCGU